CUUGUUUUAUGUGGGAGUGUCUUGGACCUGAGAGCCAAUGUAAUCGUGUGUGUUUGCUGUAGUCUACUCCCAGGUCCAGUGGGUAAUGCCCCUGGAAAAUGUAACUGGAAACCACUUGAAUGGGGACUUGCAUAUAAGGCCAGUUGUGGCCGCCAUUAAACAGUACGUCUUACUCCUUCAUGAAGUCUAGGCUCGUGUUUGGGAGCUAUAUUCACACUCUGG
This is a non-coding RNA of Pelobates cultripes (western spadefoot toad), 222 nucleotides long. The record is from the annotation of a GenBank genome assembly. Lineage: Eukaryota; Metazoa; Chordata; Amphibia; Anura; Pelobatidae.